RNAcentral lists this transfer RNA (73 nucleotides) under Flavobacteriales bacterium. RNAcentral describes it as "tRNA-Leu". It matches the Rfam family "tRNA". Rfam says of the family: Transfer RNA (tRNA) molecules are approximately 80 nucleotides in length. Their secondary structure includes four short double-helical elements and three loops (D, anti-codon, and T loops). Lineage: Bacteria; Pseudomonadati; Bacteroidota; Flavobacteriia; Flavobacteriales. The record is from RNAcentral.
GCCAGGUUGGUGAAAUGGCAGACACGCCUCGCUCAGAACGAGGAUGCUGGGGGUUCGACUCCCUCACUGGGCA